GGAAUAUUGGUCAAUGGGCGCGAGCCUGAACCAGCCAAGUAGCGUGCAGGAUGACUGCCCUAUGGGUUGUAAACUGCUUUUAUGCGGGAAUAAAGUCAGGUACGUGUACCUGUUUGUAUGUACCGCAUGAAUAAGGACCGGCUAAUUCCGUGCCAGCAGCCGCGGUAAUACGGAAGGUCCGGGCGUUAUCCGGAUUUAUUGGGUUUAAAGGGAGCGCAGGCGGAAGGUUAAGCGUGACGUGAAAUGUACCGGCUCAACCGGUGAUGUGCGUCGCGAACUGGCUUUCUUGAGUGAGUACGACGCUGGCGGAAUUCGUGGUGUAGCGGUGAAAUGCUUAGAUAUCACGAAGAACCCCGAUUGCGAAGGCAGCCAACAAGGCCUUUACUGACGCUAAAGCUCGAAGGUGCGGGUAUCGAACA
RNAcentral lists this ribosomal RNA (419 nucleotides) under uncultured Prevotella sp. RNAcentral describes it as "bacterial SSU rRNA". It matches the Rfam family "Bacterial small subunit ribosomal RNA", at positions 358 to 774 of the family's 1533-position model. Lineage: Bacteria; Pseudomonadati; Bacteroidota; Bacteroidia; Bacteroidales; Prevotellaceae. The record is from RNAcentral.